This 376-nucleotide ribosomal RNA is filed under the name uncultured Serratia sp. RNAcentral's name for it is "bacterial SSU rRNA". It matches the Rfam family "Bacterial small subunit ribosomal RNA", at positions 521 to 896 of the family's 1533-position model. The record is from RNAcentral. Lineage: Bacteria; Pseudomonadati; Pseudomonadota; Gammaproteobacteria; Enterobacterales; Yersiniaceae.
UAAUACGGAGGGUGCAAGCGUUAAUCGGAAUUACUGGGCGUAAAGCGCACGCAGGCGGUUUGUUAAGUCAGAUGUGAAAUCCCCGGGCUCAACCUGGGAACUGCAUUUGAAACUGGCAAGCUAGAGUCUCGUAGAGGGGGGUAGAAUUCCAGGUGUAGCGGUGAAAUGCGUAGAGAUCUGGAGGAAUACCGGUGGCGAAGGCGGCCCCCUGGACGAAGACUGACGCUCAGGUGCGAAAGCGUGGGGAGCAAACAGGAUUAGAUACCCUGGUAGUCCACGCUGUAAACGAUGUCGAUUUGGAGGUUGUGCCCUUGAGGCGUGGUUUCCGGAGCUAACGCGUUAAAUCGACCGCCUGGGGAGUACGGCCGCAAGGUUA